AUGCAUAGUCAGACCCUGUCUCAAAAAGGCCAAAAACAAAUCAAAACAAAAAACAAAAAACAAAACACAACGGCAUGGGAGAGCAACCUGGAGAGACUCUGAUAGCUCAGGUCAGCCCAAUACCUGUGGCUGCCACUCACUUUUCCUAUACAA
Octodon degus (degu) is the source of this 153-nucleotide small nucleolar RNA. RefSeq annotates it as small nucleolar RNA SNORA44. The transcript has a single exon. NCBI's taxonomy places the organism in Eukaryota, Metazoa, Chordata, Mammalia, Rodentia, Octodontidae. The record is from RefSeq and is a predicted model, not a curated record.